This 1325-nucleotide long non-coding RNA is filed under the name Sarcophilus harrisii (Tasmanian devil). RNAcentral describes it as "lncRNA (ENSSHAG00000031808.1)". The record is from RNAcentral. Lineage: Eukaryota; Metazoa; Chordata; Mammalia; Dasyuromorphia; Dasyuridae.
ACUGAGUUAUUUUUAAAGAAUACGAAAUUAGUUUUAAAUUAUAGACUCAAUUACAAGAAAAGUCAAUUUGGAUUAGGACUUGAUCCUUGUUAUUCAAAGAGAUGAGUUUGCAAAAGAUCACACAGCACAGACAGAAUCUUUAUUUGUAUUUAUUCAUGUAACUGUGCAUUCUUUGAUUCCAGAUUGUGAGCAUCAUGGCUCUGUAGAGGUGGUUAGUGAGAACAAGAAAGCCACAAAAGUUGUUUAAGCCAUGAAUCCCCUAAUUUCCUUGACUUUAAUUACUAAUAUGGUUAUAGGAAAACAGGGCAGAAAAAAAAAUUCAUUUUUAUAGGCUCUUCCAUAAAGCAGUAUGGAUGCCUCUUGUUAAUCCCCUCAAAUAAGGAAUAUUGCACAUACUAAACAUUUUCUAUUAAGCCUGUUGAAUCAGUAUAGGGGAUAUUUAAUGUAAAGAAGUAAUGUACCAAUCUACAACUAUCCCUUCCUUCAAAAUCUGGCUCAUUAUUUAACCUUUCUCAUAAACUUUGUUUGGCUAACCUCAACCUAUAAACAGUACUUGCUUGUUUUGUUUCUUGAACUCAUUUAUACUACAUUUUCAUUGUUAUCCUUACUUUUCAUUGGUAUCUUUCUCUCCAUUGUGUGCUUACUGUAGCUCAAUCAUGACUUCUAUGAUGGAAGAAACCCAUCUUUGACUCCCAUUACAAUUCCCCAAGGUGCCGCCUGGCACGGUGCUAUACUUAUGGCAGAUGCUUAAGUUCUGUUAAAACAAAUGAAUAUGGAAAAUUUCUGGGGAAAGAGAGUUUCACACUGUUUUGGAAAUUUUCCUCUAGCAAUCCUAAAACUGAGUUUCAUGUAACUGUCCCAAUUUGAAUUCAGGAAUGCUAGGAUUAGAAAGCCAAUAAUAUGAGUUUAAGAAAUUCUUUAAUGUUUCUUCAAAGUAACACACACAUAUGCGCACACACACACACACACACACACACACGCGUGCGCGCCAAAAUGGAUCACUAAAUAUUAGUCUAGCUUUUGUUUAGACUGUGUAAAUGAGAUUUUUCAUUUUAGCCAAAGAUUGUAGGUGGUUCAGAAUCCAUCAGAAAAGAAUUAGUUCUGUGAAUCAGAAAAAGAUCAAUAUCUAAUUUACACUUUAAUUAAUCUAGUAAGCCCUUUAACACAACAUAGGACAAAGGACCAAGUAAAAUACCUGUUUGCUUUAAGAUUAAACAUUUUUUUAAAUGUGUCCCAAAGUUGAUUACAUAUGAAAUGUUGCCCAAAGAGAGAAUGCUCUGAGAUCUCUUUUUACUUUUCCUUGCAGACCAGUAGGAAAGGAAGAA